RNAcentral lists this small nuclear RNA (102 nucleotides) under Dasypus novemcinctus (nine-banded armadillo). The record is from RNAcentral. Lineage: Eukaryota; Metazoa; Chordata; Mammalia; Cingulata; Dasypodidae.
GUGCUCACUUCGGCAGCACAUACACUAAAAUUGGAAUGAAAGAGAUUAGCAUGCCCCCUGUGCAAGGAUGACACACAAAUUCGCGAAACAUUCCAUAUUUUU